AUUGAACGCUGGCGGCAGGCCUAACACAUGCAAGUCGAGCGGAUGAAGGGAGCUUGCUCCUGGAUUCAGCGGCGGACGGGUGAGUAAUGCCUAGGAAUCUGCCUGGUGGGGGGGGUAAAGGUCGGGAAAGGGGGGCAAUAACGGCAUAGGUCCGGGGGGGGAAGGGGGGGGGGUUUGGGACCUAAGGUUAUAGGAGGAGCUAGGUCGGAUUAGCUAGUUGGUGGGGUAAAGGCCUACCAAGGCGACGAUCCGUAACUGGUCUGAGAGGAUGAUCAGUCACACUGGAACUGAGACACGGUCCAGACUCCUACGGGAGGCAGCAGUGGGGAAUAUUGGACAAUGGGCGAAAGCCUGAUCCAGCCAUGCCGCGUGUGUGAAGAAGGUCUUCGGAUUGUAAAGCACUUUAAGUUGGGAGGAAGGGCAGUAAGUUAAUACCUUGCUGUUUUGACGUUACCAACAGAAUAAGCACCGGCUAACUUCGUG
RNAcentral lists this ribosomal RNA (483 nucleotides) under uncultured bacterium. Its description in RNAcentral is "partial 16S ribosomal RNA". It matches the Rfam family "Bacterial small subunit ribosomal RNA", at positions 30 to 507 of the family's 1533-position model. The record is from RNAcentral.